CCCAUUCUUUUCCAGGGAAAGCUGUUCAUGUUCUGUCCCGCGUGUUCUCGAGAAAGUUUUGAUGAGAGAAAACAUCACACAGAAGGGUGCACGUCUCACAAGUUUCCAGCUCCGUGGAUUUUUGCAAACUGAGCACAUUUGGGGGCCAGGAGUGGGGCCCACAGCGAGGAUAUCCUUCCUGCCGCUCCUGCCGUCCGACCGGCAGCACAGUUACUACCCGGCCGUGGAACGACACAGAACUGUGCACUGUUGAGUUUAUGGUGAUGACAACAGUGAGUGUCUCUCGCCUGGCUGCACUUGCUGGAGGCACUGGCUGCUCUGACCUCCUCACUCCAGAACAUUCCCUGCUGAACAGCGACACCAGGGAAGACCAAGGAGGGUACACAAGGCUCAGUUCUUCACCUGAUGGCGACUUGGCCAUGCCCAUCUUUCCUUAUUCUCAAAGACCUGUGUGGGGCGGAGAGAGGUGGCGUUUCCAGUGGCCUGAAGUGUGGCUGAAAGCAGAGUGUUCCACUGGGAAAAAGAGAAUUCUUCCAAAGAGAAGGAUGAAGCCAGCAGCAGGGGUCCUGGCAGGACUGACCCCCACGGAGCUGAUGAGGCCGAGUGUCAGGAAGCACGCACAUUUUCCUUGAAAACAGACACAGGCCAACCUGCGUUACGGCAUCGGUGAGGUCAACAAAUAACCCCAUAGUGACUAAUACUGUAACUACAUGCCUGCCUAAAGUGACCUGACAUACUGCAGGUGCACACAAGAUGCUACGUAGUGAAAAUACAUACACAAUUAUUGCUAAAUUCAGAUCCUAGAAAAUCCACUGGAUUGAUACUUUAGAAGAGGGUAAUGGAUAAAAUCAAUCCAUAGGAAAAUUCAAAUAUUUAGAAAAUGCUAAUUUCAAUCUAGUGUAAAAAUACCGUAAAUUUGUACUGAAUUAUUUUUCCUUAUUACAAAAAUAUUCAAGCAAUAAAAAUGUCAGAUAU
This is a long non-coding RNA of Rhinopithecus roxellana (golden snub-nosed monkey), 975 nucleotides long. RefSeq lists it as uncharacterized. Lineage: Eukaryota; Metazoa; Chordata; Mammalia; Primates; Cercopithecidae. The record is from RefSeq and is a predicted model, not a curated record. The transcript is spliced from 2 exons.